Molecule: transfer RNA, 76 nt
Filed under: Candidatus Phytoplasma melaleucae
Lineage: Bacteria; Bacillati; Mycoplasmatota; Mollicutes; Acholeplasmatales; Acholeplasmataceae
Description: tRNA-Ala
Rfam family: tRNA
About the family: Transfer RNA (tRNA) molecules are approximately 80 nucleotides in length. Their secondary structure includes four short double-helical elements and three loops (D, anti-codon, and T loops).
Source: RNAcentral
GGGGUUUUAGCUCAGUUGGGAGAGCGCCUGUUUUGCAAACAGGAGGUCAGCGGUUCGAAUCCGCUAAGCUCCACCA